CCGCGUGGGUGAAGAAGGCCUUCGGGUUGUAAAGCCCUUUUGUUGGGAAAGAAAUCCGCUUGGUUAAUACCCGGUUGGGAUGACGGUACCCAAAGAAUAAUCACCGGCUAACUUCGUGCCAGCAGCCGCGGUAAUACCAAGGGUGCAAGCGUUACUCGGAAUUACUGGGCGUAAAGCGUGCGUAGGUGGUCGGUUAAGUCCGUAGGGAAAGCCCUGGGCUCAACCUGGGAACUGCAGUGGAAACUGGACGACUAGAGUGUGGUAAAGGGUAGCGGAAUUCCUGGUGGAGCAGAGAAAUGCGUAAAGAUCAAGAGGAACAUCCAUGGCGAAGGCAGCUACCUGGACCAACACUGACACUGAUGCACGAAAGCGUGGGGAGCAAACAGGAUUAGAUACCCUGGUAGUCCACGCCCUAAACGAUGCGAACUGGAUGUUGGGUGCAAUUUGGCACGCAGUAUCGAAGCUAACGCGUUAAGUUCGCCGCCUGGGGAGUACGGUCGCAAGACUGAAACUCACAGGAAUUGACGGGGGCCCGCACAAGCGGUGGAGUAUGUGGUUUAAUUCGAAUGCACCUCACCAGAACCUUAACCUGGCCUUGACAUGUCCAGAACUUUCUCAG
RNAcentral lists this ribosomal RNA (619 nucleotides) under Stenotrophomonas sp. Ri3Ps_5368. RNAcentral's name for it is "bacterial SSU rRNA". It matches the Rfam family "Bacterial small subunit ribosomal RNA", at positions 397 to 1004 of the family's 1533-position model. The record is from RNAcentral. Lineage: Bacteria; Pseudomonadati; Pseudomonadota; Gammaproteobacteria; Lysobacterales; Lysobacteraceae.